UACAGAGGAGCCAAGCGUUGUCCGGAUUGACUGGGCGUAAAGCGCACGCAGGCGGUCGCGCGCGUGGGGUGUGAAAUCUGGCCGCUUAACGGCCAGGCGCCAUCCCAUACGGCGCGACUGGAGUGAUGCAGAGGUCGAUGGAAUUGCCGGUGUAGUGGUGAAAUUCGUAGAUAUUCGGCGGAACACCAGUGGCGAAGGCGACUCACUGGCCCGAUACUGACGCUGAGGCGCGAAAGCGUGGGGAGCAAACAGG
Molecule: ribosomal RNA, 253 nt
Filed under: uncultured bacterium
Lineage: Bacteria
Description: partial 16S ribosomal RNA
Rfam family: Bacterial small subunit ribosomal RNA
Source: RNAcentral